UUUUAUAAGGGCUGAUCUGAAAGUAAUUCUCCUGUUUUAUGAUGUUGGCCCAGGAUAUCAGAGGCAGAUGUUGGUGGUAUGGCAGUAGAGGUUGAACCUUCCCACCAGUAUUUCGUUACAUUUAUUAUUGUGUGACAGAUGACAGCAGAGGGGCAGAAUGGUGUCUGACAUGGAACUCCUGAUGAAGCAAGGGUGUGUCCUUGAAUUCCUCCACGUCGAAAAAAUGGCACCGUUGACAUUCAUUGACACUUGCUGAAUGUUUGUGGAGACCAAUCAGUAGAGUGGCCUGGAGAAGGAUAUGAGCACUACUUUAUAUUGGCAGUGGCAGGCAGAACUCAGUAUGCAAAGUACAAUGACGUUUUGUGAGUGGAGGUGAUCUGAAAAGUCACAGUUUAAUCAUGUGUUAUCAAAAUUGAAGUAUAUGCAUGGACCUAUUCUAAGAACUAAAUUAAAAUACUGUCUAAAAUCUGAUAUGUUUUCACUGCAGAGAAUGGAAGAUUUUUCGUUUUCUCCGAUUGCAUUUUUAUUUCCCAAGAAAAUUGUUACAGAACUUGCUGUCUUCUUGCAGAGGUGACACUGUGCUUCAGAAUACAGCAGGGAAUACUACUGCAUACUACUGUGGGUGUCUUUUUUAUUGAACUAGUGUGCAAGUUGAGAGCCAGCUUCACAGACUUGUCAUUGAACAUUGUGGUGCAUAUUGUUGUUCCCAGGUUGUCUAGAGGACAUUAUUGAAUAGAUCUGGAAAAUAAAUAAAUAACCCCCAACUGUGUUCAGAAGGUGUGUGUUAUGUGUGAUAAAUCAUAAACACCCUCCCUUCUUCUUGGCAGAAAAGCACCUUUGAUGUACACUAUCUACAUUAUCAGUACAUUUGCAUUCUGACGUAGUCCUCUUCAAAACAAAAUGUUCUUUAAAGUGCUUUUCCAAAACUGACCUUCACUCUUGAAACAUCUCAGGGAAGCUAUCCUAUUGUAUUAGAAAUGUAAUAUUUAUCUUUAAUAUUUAAUUCCUGAGACUUUUCACCUCUUCUUUCUUCAUUUAUUUAUUUUUCCUUCCAGUUACAUGAUGAUGUAUUGCUGGAGAGAAGUACCCUUUUCCAGUUGAAGUGAAAGUAUGCAACACAUAUUUUCCAGUAAUCUAAUAAACCUUUCAUAUAGAAAAUAAAUCCUGAAUUUGUUUUGUAGAUGUUCAGAACAGCCGUGCCCAUUGCAAACUGUUCCAAUGCCAUAAUACGUAGAGUCACGGUCACUUUCUUCAGUUUGCAUGGCCUUCAAAAAAAUAAAUAAAUAAAAUAAAUAAAAAAUAAAAAAAUUCCAGUGGUCCGCUCUCAGAAACUGAGGACAAUUGUUCUAGAGAGCAGUUUUAUGUAAGACAGCUUACCAAUGAAAAUGUGAAAUUCCUAGUGUUUGUUGUGAAAGUUAG
This is a long non-coding RNA of Gallus gallus (chicken), 1419 nucleotides long. Lineage: Eukaryota; Metazoa; Chordata; Aves; Galliformes; Phasianidae. The record is from Ensembl.